Molecule: ribosomal RNA, 433 nt
Filed under: uncultured bacterium
Lineage: Bacteria
Description: partial 16S ribosomal RNA
Rfam family: Bacterial small subunit ribosomal RNA
Source: RNAcentral
AACGAACGCUGGCGGCAUACCUAACACAUGCAAGUCGAACGAGACCUUCGGGUCUAGUGUCGCACGCGUGCGUAACGCGUGGGAACCUGCCCUUAUGUUCUGAAUAACUCCCCGACAGGGUUUCUAAUACCGGAUAAUGUCUUCGUACCAAAGAAUUAUCGUCUUUUGAUGGGCUCGCGUGGGAUUAGCUAGUUGGUAGGGUAAAAUCCUACCAAGGCGACGAUCCAUAGCUAGUCUGAGAGGAUGAUCAGCCACACUGGGACUGAGACACGGCCCAGACUCCUACGGGAGGCAGCAGUGGGGAAUAUUGGACAAUGGGCGAAAGCCUGAUCCAGCAAUGCCGCGUGAGUGAUGAAGGCCUUAGGGUUGUAAAGCUCUUUUACCCGGGAUGAUAAUGACAGUACCGGGAGAAUAAGCUCCGGCUAACUCCGUG